CAGUCGCCGCGGUAAGACAGAGGAUGCAAGCGUUAUCUGGAAUGAUUGGGCGUAAAGCGACUGUAGGUGGCUUUUCAAGUCUGCAGUCAAAUCCCAAGGCUCAACCCUGGACAGGCGGCGGAAACUACCAAGAUGGAGUACGGUAGGGGCAGAGGGGAUUUCCGGUGGAGCGAUGAAAUGCGUUGAGAUCGGAAAGAACACCAACGGUGAAAGCACUCUGCUGGGCCGACACUGACACUGAGAGACGAAAGUUAGGGGAGAAAAUGGGAUUAGAUACCCCCGUAGUCCCUGUCUCUUAUAA
Molecule: ribosomal RNA, 301 nt
Filed under: uncultured bacterium
Lineage: Bacteria
Description: partial 16S ribosomal RNA
Rfam family: Bacterial small subunit ribosomal RNA
Source: RNAcentral